Molecule: RNA transcript, 1454 nt
Organism: Telopea speciosissima
Lineage: Eukaryota; Viridiplantae; Streptophyta; Magnoliopsida; Proteales; Proteaceae
Gene name: telomere repeat-binding factor 1-like
Exons: 9
Source: RefSeq, a predicted model, not a curated record
CCCUACUUUGCUCCUUCUACCCCCUUCCCUUCUGCGUCUUUCCUCUGCAUUCCGGAAUUUGACCCCCGCCAGGGAAGUAGGUUCUUAAGAAGUGGCAGAUAUGGGGUCUUACCGAAAGAGUUAUCUGGGUAUUUUAUCUAUCUGACAGAAAGUACCAAGAACCACUGGUAUCUUGUUAUCGUAGUCUGGUUUUCGCAUCAGAUUAUUUUACAAUAAUAUUGGAGGUCCUGCUGAUGGGUGCUCCAAAACAGAAGUGGACAGCAGAAGAAGAAGUGGCCCUUAAAGCUGGAGUAGUAAAGCACGGGGCAGGCAAAUGGCGCACAAUAUUGAAAGACCCAGAAUUCAGCAGUGUCUUGUCAUUGCGUUCAAAUGUGGAUCUCAAGGAUAAAUGGAGAAACAUGAACGUAACAGCGAAUGGGUAUGGGUCUAGGCACAGGGGUCGGUUAGCAGUCAGAAGGAAUCAACCUGUCCUUAAACAUGAUGAUAACCCUCUGGCUCUCAGCAUGGUAGUUCAGAGUGAUGAAGAAAUUGUGGAUGCUAAGCCUCUAGCAGUUUCUGGUGGAACACUGCAGAAUGUUGGUCCAAAAAGAUCUAUACCAAGGUUGGAAAAUAUUAUAAUGGAAGCAAUAACCAAUUUGAAGGAGCCUGGUGGUUCUAACAGGACUGAUAUCGCAACAUACAUUGAGGAUCAAUACUGGUCACCUCCAAACUUCAAAAGGCAAUUGUCAGCAAAAUUAAAAAAUUUGACAGCAAGUGGAAAAUUGAUCAAGGUAAAGCGUAAGUACAGGAUUGCUCCACGCUUGACGUCAGAAGGAAGAAGCUCUGGCUUGCUACUUCUUGAGGGAAGACCAAAGCAUACUUCCAGAACAGACAAGGAUGAUAUCAAAAUUCUUUCUAGAUCCCAGAUUGAUGCAGAGCUGGCAAAGAUAAGAAAUAUGACUGCACAGGAGGCUGCUGCUUUUGCCGCUCGAGCAGUUGCAGAGGCAGAGGCAGCCAUGGCAGAAGCUGAAGAGGCAGCAAAGGAGGCAGAAGCUGCAGAAGCUGAUGCAGAAGCAGCCCAGGCCUUCGCUGAAGCAGCAAUGUUAACAUUGAAAGGCAGAAACGGUUCAAAGAUGAUGAUCCAUGCAUGACGGAAACCUCACAGAUAGGCUAUCUGGGUCCAUGAGAAUGAACAUUGGGAUUGUCAUCACUUAGAUCAAUGUCCAUAUGCAAAUCAACUUUCAUAUUAGAACAUGCCUGUACAUAAGGGUCUUCUUGAUGGUAUUGGAUCUAUGCAGAUUUGUUAUUUUGAUAUAGAGCUAUAGGUCCUUACAUAUGAAAACUGAAAUGCAGUAAAAUGUACAGAUCAGAUAGUGAAAAGUAAAUAGAUACCUGAAGAUGAAACUGAAGUAUUUUGGGUAUCAUUGCGUCACUCAUUUUAUGAAUGAGAAAAUGCAUAAUUUUUGGAUUCUGAU